UCGUUGUUAGGAAAGCGCCCUCCGAAUUUAAUGAGAGUAAAUUCAUCAGCUGGGCGAUCUACAACGAGACGCUACUGUCGCUAUUCCUCAACAUCUCAAUGUUGUUUUUGCAAUCUCCGGCCAAUCCAGACCUUCUCUACAUGAUAUUAUUUGUACACAGUCAGCUGACGACCACAGUUGUGUUAUGCCUUCUCUUUGGUAGUAAGCUUUACAUGGUCUAUAAAGGCAUGGCGACUCCGGAUCACUCCUAUCAGACGGUGACCCACGGAAAGGGGGCUAAAUUCUUGUACAGCGGCGGUCGAUCUCCAAUUCCCCCACGCCAUUGUACGGGACUAUCGAGC
Molecule: long non-coding RNA, 341 nt
Organism: Priapulus caudatus
Lineage: Eukaryota; Metazoa; Priapulida; Priapulimorpha; Priapulimorphida; Priapulidae
Exons: 3
Source: RefSeq, a predicted model, not a curated record